Molecule: ribosomal RNA, 490 nt
Filed under: uncultured bacterium
Lineage: Bacteria
Description: partial 16S ribosomal RNA
Rfam family: Bacterial small subunit ribosomal RNA
Source: RNAcentral
AGUGAACGCUGGCGGCAGGCCUAGCACAUGCAAGUCGAACGGCAGCACAAGAGAGCUUGCUCUCUGGGUGGCGAGUGGCGGACGGGUGAGGAAUGCAUCGGAAUCUGCCCAUUUGUGGGGGAUAACCUCGGGAAACCGGGACUAAUACCGCAUACGACCUACGGGUGAAAGCAGGGGAUCUUCGGACCUUGCGCAGAUGGAUGAGCCGAUGCCGGAUUAGCUAGUUGGAGGGGUAAAGGCCCACCAAGGCGACGAUCCGUAGCUGGUCUGAGAGGAUGAUCAGCCACACUGGGACUGAGACACGGCCCAGACUCCUACGGGAGGCAGCAGUGGGGAAUAUUGGACAAUGGGCGCAAGCCUGAUCCAGCCAUGCCGCGUGUGUGAAGAAGGCCUUCGGGUUGUAAAGCACUUUUGUUGGGAAAGAAAAGCAGCCGGUUAAUACCCGGUUGUCAUGACGGUACCCAAAGAAUAAGCACCGGCUAACUUCGUG